AACAUUAAUUUCAGAGAUAACAAUUCUCAUUAAUCAUCCAAGCAUCCAUUCUUAAUACUUCUUAGUAAGACAAAAACUUUAUCCACUACAAAUUACAAAAGUGAAUCAUCCAAACGUUCAUUCUUAAGUACAUCACCAACUAGUGUGAAAUAUAAAUCUAUCUGUUAAGAGAUACAAAAUGCAGGUCUUAACAUCAAUAUAUAACAUUAGACCUCCCAAAACACUCUAACUCUACUUGAUCAUCCUUCAGACUUCAACCCCUGUAAGGAAAACAAAACUAAAUGGCUGAGCUAAAGCUCAGUGAGGCUUGCCAAGCAAGUUACAUAAAAUAAACACUUAAAUCAGUACAAUUAAGCAAGUAGUACACAUUUCACUGUACAAUCACUUUCAUUAAGUAAUUGAGAAACACUUCGCUAAACAAUCACUUUUAAAAGGAUACGGUGCUCGCAUUAGAGCUACUUCAAUGUCAUUGAGCAUUCAUUUCAGUGUCAAGAGACAUUCAUUUCACUGUCAUUGUACAUUCAUUUCAAUAUCACUGAACAUUCUGCCAAUUCACUUCCUUAUGUCCUCCAAAACAAUAAACAAUUCACUACAUUCAAUAAUCAGUUCAAUAAUCUCCCAACCUCAUGAUAAUACUCGAGUAUAUCGAAACAUUUGCCCAAAGCUGCCGUUCUACCCGACCAAGCCCUUUGCUGGCUCGAAUAGUCCAUUGAAUAGAGGGUUUUCGGGCCCAAUUCAGCCAAUGUGAUAAAAUACACACACGGCUUACAGUCAUGCACACUUACAAUAUCACUUGAUCAAUUAUCAACCUUCAAACUCAACUAAGGCGAGUGCGAUAAAGUACACCCUCGGCUUAGAAGGCAAGGGACAAUUGAGAUACACUUUGCAAUGAAUCACUUAGCAAUAUUUCAUAAUAAGCACAUUUAUCACAUAAUUUCACUUAAGUAACAUAAACAGUUAAACAUAUAAAUUCGGAAACACUCACCGUAAUCAAAAAUUACACUUCGAUCUCGGAAUUGCUUUCUUGCACACCUCUAUCUCCUAAGACAAGUUAUAAUAGCCAUAAUCAUUUAACUACUCAUUUGGUGAGGUUCUAAAGUAUAAUCAACAUACGUGUUGUAUUCUAGCCUUAAGUCACCAUUCCAGCUGAAUUCUCAGCUAUUGCUUUGUUUAAAUGAGGCGACUAGUGCAUUUCUUACAUUCACUCGUCACUUCGACUUUUAGUUUUCAAAAGAGAGGAAGUUUAAGUGGCAAUUCCAGUAUUGUGACUUCAGUACUUUUAUACUGCUAGAUUUAUCGUACUAAAACUCAACAUUAACCUUUAAUAAGGUAAAUUUUAGAAAUAACUACCUUUAAGGUACUUUAUUGUCCUAUAAAUCUCUUUUACUUACUUAUGAUCAUGAGUAAAACUAGUUUAUUACCUUGACAGUGAACAUACAAUGCUUAUAAAGCCGUUUGAAUCAUGUUUUAUUUGUAUAUCUUUUCAUAUAAGUUUUAUAGCCUUUUAGAUCCCUAUAGUUGAUAUAACAACUGUUCUCAUCCAUUUAUCCAUUUAUCUUUAUGUCCGACUGCUAAUUACUCACCAAUUUAAGGUUUAAAUUACUAGAACUCAAGUCCCUUAGCUUGUCACACAAGAUGCAACAAUUCCAGCAACCUUCCUCACAUUUCUCUUCAAGAUUCAUCAAAUUUAUCAACUCAAACAAGGGAAAUAUUCAUGUAUACCAAAUUUAAGGUCUUGUAAGGUGUUUAAACUAAGGUUAAACUAUUUUCAUGCCAAAUUUAAAGAUUAAGGUUAGUGAACUUUUCAUUUCUUUCCUUUUAAGCUAAACCAGAUUCUAGUUUGCUUGUUGUUUAAAUUUGCUCCAAUUCACCAGCUUUUCAAGUGUUAAAAUCAAUAAGAUGUACAUGAAAACUAGGACAAGAUGUUAUAAGAUGUUUUACUUAAGAUUACAGCCAAUUAUCAUGGAAUUUUCGAAAUUAACAUGAGAGUUUCAGCCUUCACCCUCUCUCGGCCAGCAAAACAGAUUUUCCAGCAACAUUACUCCAAAAUUUUCAACAAGGUUUCCAUCCUUUGCUUGCUUUAAACACUAAACACUUAACAUACAUUCUGUCCAAUAUGAAAUGAAUCAUAUAACAGGUAAUUGCAGCAAAUUAUUCCACCAAGAAGUCCCCAUAAAUCUGUCAUCAGCUAACAUAUAAUCUUCCAGCAAUUUGACAGUUUAAAUGUGAAACUUUCUCCACAAAUUCUUCAUUUUUCCACUCCAGCUCAACAUGCAGAGUGUAGUUAUCAUGCUACGGUGUAUCUUGUGCAACAAUAUGAAAUUUACAGCCAAAGAUUCAAAGGGAAAGCUGGAUAAAAUUUUGUUUCCUUCUCUCGGCCAUGCUGAAAAAUUUCAGCAGCUUUCUUUCAACAUUUCAAGCCAAAUCUAUCAACAUUUUUACUAGUUCCAUAAAUAGAUAUCCUAUAAGAUCAGAGAUGAACCUAUUUCAUGCAUUCCUAGCAUAAUUCUCCAAAGGAAAUUCUGGUAACAAGCUGCAAUUCCAGGUCCACUCUCUCGGCCAUCACAGAGUUUUCUUGUAGCUCUUAAUCAGUCAUUAAACAGAAUUUUUCCUCAGCCAAAACUCAUUUUUCCUAGCUAAAACUUAACAUGCAGCUUAAGUAUUCAGUUAUACUAGAUAAUUAAAAGAUUGUUGCAGCAUUUUACCUGCCUUUUUCUAACAAUCGAAGCUGGAAAAGAAGAAACCCGCAGGCAGACUCCUUCCUCCUUCGUUUCCUCAUGAUGAAAGCUCCAAGUUCCCCUUUUUUCUACCUUACUCUCUAACUCAUUCGGUUGACUGGAAGGAAAGAAUGGAUUCAGAGAGCUCCCUCACUCUCACUCUUUCUCUCGGUUUUGGGUAUGGAAAAGGAAGAAAGCUUAGUACUCUGUUAUCUCUAUUUGUUUGCUCUCGGUUGAAGUCCAAAAUGGCAGAGCACUUCCUUUCCCUUGGUCAUUACUUAACUCAGCAAAUGUUCCACCGCCCAAACUGUCAGACAAUUUCUACUCCUUUUCCUUUCCACCGCUUGAUCUAUUAGAGGCUUGCAUUCGGUUCCUAUCACAACAAAUCUUACUUUCUCUAGGUUUUGUUUCUGAAUUCUGAUAGUUUGUGUGAUGGCUGCAUAGUAGUUAGUCUUGAAGUUUGAGGUCGGUUUGGUCUUUUUGUUGUAGUUUAUUUGCUCACCAAGGCCUAAAAUUUUAUAAUUUCAUGCAUGGACUCCUAACUUCGUUUGUAUUUUAGUGAAUAGUUUUCUUACAUUGAUUUUGACACAUUUAACUUUAAGAAAAACUUAUUAGACAUGUACUUGUUAAACUUUUAGUGUAUGUUACGUGUCUAGUAAUAUUUGCAAAUAACAUAAUUUACGAUAUGCACGUCAUCUAUUUAUUUAAUUCGUAAAAUUUUUCUAUACCAUUCUAGGAUAUUUCCUAAAUUCUCAAUUUUAUAAAAAUUCAAUUAGGCAUUUAAUUUAACCACUUAUUCGUUAUAUGUUAUAUUUUCAAUAUCAAGGUAAAUAAAAUAAAAUAAAUGCAAAUUACACGUAAUUUUUCAAGUUCUCACAUUACCUGUGACAGCCCGGUCUCCUCCUAGGGCAUACCCUAGAAGUUAGUGGACCGCCCGCCUGACUCUCACCAGGACUUAUUCACUAACAUUAACUUCAAAAAUAACAAUUCUCAUUAAUCAUCCAAACAUCCAUUCUUAAUACUUCUUAGUAAGACAAAAGCUUUAUCCACUACAAAUUACAAAAGUGAAUCAUCCAAACGUUCAUUCUUAAGUACAUCACCAACUUGUGUGAAAUAUAAAUCUAUCCGUUAAGAGAUACAAAAUGCAGGUCUUAACAUCAAUAUAUAACAUUAGACCUCCCAAAACACUCUAACUCUACUUGAUCAUCCUUCAGACUUCAACCCCUGUAAGGAAAACAAAACUAAAGGGCUGAGCUAAAGCUCAGUGAGGUUCGCCGAGCAAGUUACAUUUAAUAAACACUUAAAUCAGUACAAUUAAGCAAGUAGUACACAUUUCACUAUACAAUCACUUUCAUUAAAUAAUUGAGGAAACACUUCACUAAAUAAUCACUUUUAAAAGGAUACGGUGCUUGCAUUAGAGCCACUUCAAUGUCAUUAAGCAUUCAUUUCUGUGUCAAGAGACACUCAUUUCACUGUCAUUGUACAUUUAUUUCAAUAUCAUUGGACAUUCCGCCAAUUCACCUCCUUAUGUCAUCUAAAACAAUAAACAAUCCACUACAUUCAAUAAUCAGUUCAAUAAUCUCCCAACCUCAUGGUAAUACUCAAGUAUAUCGAAACAUUUACCCAAAGCUACCGUCCUACCCGACCAAGCCCUUUGCUGGCUUGAAUAGUCCGUUGAACAGAGGGUUUUGGGGCCCAGUUCAGCCGAUGCGGCGAGGCAUACAUACGGCUUACAUUCAUACACACUUACAGUAACAUUCAGUCAAUUAUCGACCUUCAAGCUCAACUAAAUCGAGUGCAAUAAAGUACACUCUCGACUUAGAAGGCAAGGGAUAAUUGAGAUACACUUUACAAGGAAUCAUUUAGUAAUAAUUCAUAAUAAGCACAUUUGUCACAUAAUUUCACUGAGAUACACAUAAACAGUUAAACACAUAAAUUCGGAAAACACUCCCAAAUUAUCCAAAUAAUUUACUCUCCAGUCUCGGGUUUGUUUCCUGACUCGCAGCUACUUCCUGAGAUAAAUAUAUAAUUCCAUGGUAAAUUUAUAAUUUGUAGAUGUUCACCAAUUAUUUAAAUCAUUCGAAUUAGGUUUGAGUUUAAAAUAUAAAAUAUAACAUAUUCAACAUUUAUUCUACCUUAUUGUUUAAACUAUUAAAAUCAAGUCUGACCUUAAAAUACAAAAUAUACGCAAUAUUUAUUCCCCAAUUUAUUUCGAGACUUAUUGACUUUAUUAUCUUAAAUCAAGAAACAUACAUACUUUCCAAAUUAAUUAUAUAUAAAAGGUUUACAUUAGGAUUAAAACAUUUGUCAGGAUCAAGCGCUUACCAUUGCACCAAAAGCUAUAGCUGUUAGUGAAGGCGCAACUUUAUUUCCUUAACCACAAUGGCAGUGCAAAGCACCGUACCACGCUCGGCCAGCAUGAGGGUCUGCACCCCUGGGUGCCACGGGCUGGGCGGUUAGUCCCGUCGAACCGGGAUCUGAGGGAUGUUGCUGAUUAGGCCAACAAUCCCUCCCCCAGCAACAGCCAGGGAGAUUCGAACCCGCGACCUCGCUCUGAUACCACUUGUCAGGAUCAAGCGCUUACCAUUGCACCAAAAGCUAUAGCUGUUAGUGAAGGCGCAACUUUAUUUCCUUAACCACAAUGGCAGCGCAAAGCACCGUACCACGCUCGGCCAGCAUGAGGGUCUGCACCCCUGGGUGCCACGGGUUGGGCGGUUAGUCCCGUCGAACCGGGAUCUGAGGGAUGUUGCUGAUUAGGCCAACAACAUUUUCUACUCAAGAUUCUAAGUUUAAAACUUAGGAAUAUUCCAUUGGUUCCCUUUUUAAAUUAGUUAAACUCUAAGUUAUUUGUAAAUUAAAUUUUAUUCCACUACACUCAUCCCUCAAAUUUAUAGGUUUUAACAUAUGUGUUAAGACAAUAUUAAGUGAUUAGAAGCCAAUUUAGGUAUAUAACUAUCAUGAGUUUUCUUCUCAUUUGCUUUAAUUUAACUCUACUCGUGGAACUAGAUAUAGUCGUUAAAUCUCAGAGCAACCUUAGCUAUCAUUUAUGAAAGCUUACAGGGUUGGAAAUUAGAUGAAAUGCUGUUCAAAAAUAGGUUUCCUCACUGCCAGCAUCAAGUAGAAUGCAUUCGGAAAAACAAGAGAGAGGCAACGACAAAGGCAACUUUGCCAAUCUCUGGUGUUUUGAUCAUAAUUGGAGCUACACUUAUGGGUUUGAGGCAAAUUUUAUAGCGUCAACGUUUCUUAUGAAAGCAUCGACACCCAGUUCUCACAUUUUCAGGGUAAAAAAUGGCCGGACAAAAGCACAUUCUGCUUCACUCCCUCGGCCAACCAACCUGCACUCAUUUCUACUUUAGUAUUUAGUUGAGUUUCUACUGGUUCCAAUCUUCCUUGUUGAGGUUUAAGGUCCGUAUGACAUGUUACAUUUACUACACAGGUUUAGAAGUUAAAGUUUAUAGAGGAUCACCAAAGUUUCUUUCUUCUCCCCCCCUCGGUUGCAGCAAAUACUUUUUCCAGUAAAACAGUGGCUUAUCUUUUGACAUUUUCUCGCCUUUACUUCCUCAGUUUCUGGUCUCAAUCACUUAUGCAGAGGACACUCAAUCUACUGCAGGUUAUCCUAUGCUAAGCAGAGUCGUUCAUGACCAAAAUUCAGAGGAAAGAUGGGCUAAAUCCCGUGCCUGAGUUUAGCAGCAAAACCUGAUGCAUGGCAGCAUGCAUCAGACUCCAUCGAAUUCAGUUUUAUGUCCCAACUGAACGUAUAGAGGGUAAUGACUUAGCUAAAAAUUAUCCUAAAGAAAGGAUGACAGUUUAUGAUCAGAAUUCACGAGAAUACUGAAGAAAUAUCUGUUGCAUGCACUUCUUAAUGUUAUCAUCCCAAGAAAAAUUUGAUAACAGUUGCAGGUUCAGGCUUUAAUCUCAGUUUUCUGCAAUUUCCCUUUUCCUGCAAUUUUACAGUUGCUGCCCGACAUUUACUUCAGCCACAAGCUCAAAUUCAUAGCUAAAUUCGACAUGCAGCUGGUGUUUAUCCAAUUAUACCAACUAAACAGCGAGUUGUUAUAAAAUCUUACCUGUUCCCCUUAAAGUUCGAUGUUGCAGGCUGCUCAAGUUUCGGUUUCAGCUCCUCAAUUCCUAGCACUCGAUUCUCCCGUUCCUUGCAGUCCCUUCCUCAGCACUGGCUAAUUGAUUAUGAUGCUUACCUAAGUUGUAACUGGUUUCUCUUAACCUUGCUCUCUCUCUCUUUUCUCACUCACUCGAGUCUGUUUUUGAAAGAAAGUAAGAAAGGACGACAGCUUUGGUUUUGCUCUCAGCCACCGCCAAUUUUUGUUUCUUUACGCUGUUCUCAUUCGGUUCUUGCUUAUUCAGCAAUUUGGUGAUGCAUUCCCUCCUGACAGCUGUCUCAAUUCACCUCCCAAUCUCAGUU
Molecule: long non-coding RNA, 7137 nt
Filed under: Coffea arabica (coffee)
Lineage: Eukaryota; Viridiplantae; Streptophyta; Magnoliopsida; Gentianales; Rubiaceae
Description: long non-coding RNA (CARA_LNC004787)
Source: RNAcentral